UCCAAGGUCAACUUUAUUUCGAUCUUAUCGAACUAGUUAAUUGCAAUGUAGAAAGUAUUUGAUUCUUAAAUGGAACAUCAGUUCUUCAGUGUGAGCUAUGGCUACUGUACUACUGUCAAUAUAGAAAGACUGGACUAUCAAUGGAGGGUGCCACUCCAUGCUCGCUGAUAAAUGUUCAUCAUCAAACAAUUUCUUUACCAGCAUGAAAUACCAUAAAG
This 218-nucleotide long non-coding RNA is filed under the name Elaeis guineensis (African oil palm). RNAcentral's name for it is "long non-coding RNA (EGUI_LNC079829)". The record is from RNAcentral. Lineage: Eukaryota; Viridiplantae; Streptophyta; Magnoliopsida; Arecales; Arecaceae.